RNAcentral lists this long non-coding RNA (2118 nucleotides) under Homo sapiens (human). Its description in RNAcentral is "long non-coding RNA NONHSAT215876.1". The record is from RNAcentral. Lineage: Eukaryota; Metazoa; Chordata; Mammalia; Primates; Hominidae.
CUGAUUCCUUCCUUGCUGUAUCCAGUUAUGUUGUCCUCAGAAGCAAGUGCCAGGCGAUGUUCAUUCCACCGGCGUCCCUUGGUGGCACCUCUUGUAUCUGAGCCAUCUAGAGGUAGUCCCCCUUUGUGACUCAGCCUUUCUCUUUCCAUCUCUCAGCUCUGCUUUUCUCUGGGUUGACUUCACUUUGGGACCCACUUUCUCCAUAUGUCAGCUCCUGGCAAUUUUAGCUUGCCCACUACAGCAAAGAGAGUGUCCCUUUGCAGAGAGUUACAAUGGGCAUUCUGGAAGCCAGUUCCAUUGGCUGUUGCUACCCUGGUUUGGGUCAUAUGCUAAUCCCAGCACCAGGCCAGGCCACGAAGGUGUGAGUGGUGCUCUCAUUGGCCAGUCCUGGGCCUGGAGCAGGGGGCUAUGCUGGGUUCAAUCCACUCCCUGAAAAAACAAAAGGCCUGAGAGCGGGACGGGGUGGGGGACCCAAGGAGUCCCAGGCUGCUGUGGCUGAAGAAAUGGCAGUGGAUGCUCACAGGCAAAAACGACCUACGUCAGCUUCUCAGAUCCUCUCCGUUCCCACUUCUCUUGCCUCCGUUUCUGCAGUCACUACCAUGCAGUCUCUCUCGCCUCCUUUUCUCUACCUCCUCACUAUACUAACUCUGCCUUUUACUGCCUCCCAAUUUCCACGCCCUCAAGCCUCCUGUUUACUUUCUCUUCUGAGCCUCCUCCUAUUUCUGCUUACUCUGCUGUUGUUCCUCUUUUACAGUCUCACAUUGAGUUCCCUGGAAGUGUAUCGAAUUGGGUCUGUUAGCAUCUAGGACAGAGUGUCCCUAUUAAUCAGCAGGGUCAUGGGAAGCCAGCUCAGAGCCACCAACCAGCCUCCAGAUUGUUUCCUUCAGGUCUGAUGCCUUUGCCUAGGAUGAUCCAGCAGGAUGAUAGAGCCACAUCUUGUGUUAUAAAUUAAGGGACCCACAUAGAAGGUACGACUAUUGGUGGCUUUGCUCAGAGUACAACAAUCAGAACUUCAUGGCCUAAAGAACACAUUUGGUAUUUGUCCUAAAGGACCAGCCUUCAUUAUCUCUGUCUAUGCUAUAUAAACCUAACAUAACACUUGCUGAAAGAAAGAUCUUUAUAGAGUAGAUGCAAUGUGCUUUUUUUAUACUCUAGGUGAUACCACUGGUGGAUGCAUGGCUGGAUGAAAACUCUAGAAACCAACAACCUCAGUGACUGAAGGAAGAUGAGUUGGACAAGAAAAAGUGAAAGAGGAGCAGCUAUGGUUCCCGCUGGAAGGAAACGGAAGACUUCAGUUCUCUGGAGGGAGCUUCUCCCGCAGCAUACAGGUUCUUGCUGGAACCCUGUUGCAUUUCCUCUGUAGGACACACAGGUUUAUCUAAGCUGUGAAAGCAACACAGAGAUAAGACCCAUGGUGUUUUCCUUGUUAGAAAAAAGCUGUCUACUUCCUGUCUGGAGAAACCAGGGACACUUGAUUUUGAAGGGACUUCAGCAAUGUAAGCACAAAAUCAGCCCCUUCUCUUUAAUUUAAAUUCCACCCUUCUCUUGGGUGACGGCUGUUUCUAAGUUAUUUAAAGAUUUAGAAAGUAGCUAGAAGGUCACUGGGUUUGUGGCGGCAUUGGCUUUUAAGCUUGUGCAAUAAAACCACAUUCGGCUUGUUCCCUAAGGUGAGGGCAGAAAUGACUGGACGGAAUGCCCACCUGCCCAUACAGUUUGAAGAGAACAGUCCAAGUUCUCAAAUAGUUCGAAACCUUUUAAGAAAUCAGAAAUAGUAGGAAACAUUGCAUCUGAAGUCACAGAAUAUGUUAAUAUUAACCCGUGUGGCUGGAAUAAAUGUGCAAGCUGAUGUGUUAAUCUCUGACGUAUUUGGAGAUAUUUCCUUUAUGUAAAUAAUUUAAACUGUCCACAAGAUAACUUCAUUUUCUACAGAGUCCGAUUUGAUUUUAACAUUUUUUGAAGAUCAUGGGAGUUUAUCAUUUUGUUUUUGGUUUCAUUCAAUGGUAGCAAUCUGAGAUAGUCACCUGCCCAUCCCAGGUCCAGUUGUGUAACUUUUAACAAGUUAUUAAACAUCCUCAUGCCUCAGUUUCUUCAUUUAUAAAGUGGGGAUAAUAGUAUCUA